RNAcentral lists this unclassified non-coding RNA (224 nucleotides) under uncultured Micrococcaceae bacterium. RNAcentral describes it as "contains 16S-23S intergenic spacer region". Lineage: Bacteria; Bacillati; Actinomycetota; Actinomycetes; Micrococcales; Micrococcaceae. The record is from RNAcentral.
UCCGAGUUGACCCCGGCAGUCUCCUAUGAGUCCCCACCAUCACGUGCUGGCAACAUAGAACGAGGGUUGCGCUCGUUGCGGGACUUAACCCAACAUCUCACGACACGAGCUGACGACAACCAUGCACCACCUGUGAACCGGCCCCAAAGGGGAAACCACAUUUCUGCGGCGGUCCGGUCCAUGUCAAGCCUUGGUAAGGUGGGGAUGACGUCGGAGGAAUUCCA